AAAGUCUAUGAAUGUAACAAAUUUAUAACAAACAAAACUUUCAACAACGGAUCUCUUGGCUCUCGCAUCGAUGAAGAACGCACCCCCCCCCGAUACGUAAUGUGAAUUGCAGAAUUCAGUGAAUCAUCGAAUCUUUGAACGCACCUUGCGCUCCAUGGUAUUCCGUGGAGCAUGCCUGUUUGAGUGUCAUGAAUUCUUCAACCCACCUCUUUCUUAGUGAAUCAGGCGGUGUUUGGAUUCUGAGCGCUGCUGGCCUCACGGCCUAGCUCGCUCGUAAUGCAUUAGCAUCCGCAAUCGAACUUCGGAUUGACUCGGCGUAAUAGACUAUUCGCUGAGGAUUCUGGUCUCUGACUGGAGCCGGGUAAGAUUAAAGGAAGCUACUAAUCCUCAUGUCUAUCUUGAGAUUAGACCUCAAAUCAGGUAGGACUACCCGCUGAACUUAAGCAUAUCAAUAAGCGGAGGAA
RNAcentral lists this ribosomal RNA (464 nucleotides) under uncultured organism. RNAcentral describes it as "eukaryotic LSU rRNA". The stretch from base 36 to 189 matches the Rfam family "5.8S ribosomal RNA". The record is from RNAcentral.